AAACAAGGAGAAACUCGUUUCUCUUGAGCUUUCUAUUGAGAAAUUCUUUUACAGUGCGAGUGUCGCGCUCUUGGGACAAGAAUUCUAUCAUCACCGUGUUUCACAUGUAAAUAACUAUGCAAGAAAACACAGAAAUAUCGAUAUGACAGACGAGCAAAACAAUGCAUAGUAUAGUUGUUCAGCGACACAAUCUCAGAAUCAUCAACGCGGAAAAUCCUGUAACUAUCUGAAAGAAAACUUAUUUUUCCCUGAGAUCUCGAUUGGUUGCUAGAGAGUAGACAAGAAGCGCGCACGUUGAGAAGCGACUUUUCCUAUGUGGAGGUGGACGACGUCUAUCCCCGACUCAGGCCCGAAAUCUUUCACUGUUAAAGAGUUCAAACGGAUGUAGAUAAGAAAGCAAAAAUCGAAGAGCAUGAGAUAGUACCUCUUGAUUCGGAAGCUUUUGUCGAACUUCGCGAGGUGAUGAUGAUUGGCCGGAAGCGGAUGAACCUGGACCCGAACAGCAGCCAAGUCACUCACGGUCUUCAUCGAGUAUCUCUUAAGUCGAUUUUAGAAGCUAGUUCAGGAUAAUCCGCGCGCAUGGCCGACUUUCUUGACGACUGAGAAACUACCUACUGGCUUUACACCGUUUCGUCUCGUUUAUGGUCUUGAGGCUAUACUUCCGAUCCAAUUAUGUAUCUUUUCCAGCCUCAGCGCAGAUCAACUUGCGCGAACCUCCGUUUGCCUUGAGGACGCGAUUUG
Molecule: long non-coding RNA, 741 nt
Filed under: Selaginella moellendorffii
Lineage: Eukaryota; Viridiplantae; Streptophyta; Lycopodiopsida; Selaginellales; Selaginellaceae
Description: long non-coding RNA (SMOE_LNC000693)
Source: RNAcentral